UACGAAGGGGGCUAGCGUUGCUCGGAAUCACUGGGCGUAAAGCGCACGUAGGCGGAUUGUUAAGUCAGGGGUGAAAUCCUGGAGCUCAACUCCAGAACUGCCUUUGAUACUGGCGAUCUCGAGUCCGGGAGAGGUGAGUGGAACUGCGAGUGUAGAGGUGAAAUUCGUAGAUAUUCGCAAGAACACCAGUGGCGAAGGCGGCUCACUGGCCCGGUACCGACGCUGAGGUGCGGAAGCGUGGGGAGCAAACAGG
Molecule: ribosomal RNA, 253 nt
Filed under: uncultured bacterium
Lineage: Bacteria
Description: partial 16S ribosomal RNA
Rfam family: Bacterial small subunit ribosomal RNA
Source: RNAcentral